Molecule: ribosomal RNA, 471 nt
Filed under: uncultured Rhodocyclaceae bacterium
Lineage: Bacteria; Pseudomonadati; Pseudomonadota; Betaproteobacteria; Rhodocyclales; Rhodocyclaceae
Description: bacterial SSU rRNA
Rfam family: Bacterial small subunit ribosomal RNA
Source: RNAcentral
UUAGACGGGACCCGCACAAGCGGUGGAUGAUGUGGAUUAAUUCGAUGCAACGCGAAAACCUUACCUACCCUUGACAUGUCCGGAAUCCCGAAGAGAUUGGGAGUGCUCGCAAGAGAGCCGGAACACAGGUGCUGCAUGGCUGUCGUCAGCUCGUGUCGUGAGAUGUUGGGUUAAGUCCCGCAACGAGCGCAACCCUUGUCAUUAGUUGCCAUCAUUUGGUUGGGCACUCUAAUGAGACUGCCGGUGACAAACCGGAGGAAGGUGGGGAUGACGUCAAGUCCUCAUGGCCCUUAUGGGUAGGGCUUCACACGUCAUACAAUGGUCGGUACAGAGGGUUGCCAACCCGCGAGGGGGAGCUAAUCCCACAAAGCCGAUCGUAGUCCGGAUCGCAGUCUGCAACUCGACUGCGUGAAGUCGGAAUCGCUAGUAAUCGUGGAUCAGCAUGUCACGGUGAAUACGUUCCCGGGUCUU